This 325-nucleotide ribosomal RNA is filed under the name Sandonidae sp. RNAcentral's name for it is "SSU rRNA". The stretch from base 62 to 325 matches the Rfam family "Eukaryotic small subunit ribosomal RNA", at positions 693 to 955 of the family's 1831-position model. Lineage: Eukaryota; Cercozoa; Glissomonadida; Sandonidae. The record is from RNAcentral.
GAUUUCUGGCUUGAAACAUUUUGCCGGCCACGGUUUCGUGUGUUAGUGCUUGAUAUUCUGGCCAUCCUUCCAAUGGCUAUUCAUCCUUCUUCAUUGAGGUGGUGAGUGGUAUUGGAUCUUUUACUUUGAAAAAAUUAGAGUGUUUCAAGCAGGCAUUUAUGCUAUGAAUACAUUAGCAUGGAAUAAUAAUUUAGGACGUUCGGUUCUAUUUUGUUGGUUUCUAGGACUGAAGUAAUGAUUGAUAGGGAUAGUUGGGGGUGCUAGUAUUCAGUGGCCAGAGGUGAAAUUCUCGGAUUCACUGAAGACUAACUUAUGCGAAAGCAUU